CCCUUAGAUGUUCUGGGCCGCACACGCGCUACACUGAAGGAGGCAGCGUGUACUCCUGGAUCGAAAGAUUUGGGUAACCCGCGAAUCUCCUUCGUGCUAGGGAUUGAGGUUUGCAAUUAUCCUUCAUGAACGAGGAAUUCCCAGUAAGUGCAAGUCAUAAGCUUGCGCUGACUACGUCCCUGCCCUUUGUACACACCGCCCGUCGCUACUACCGAUUGAAUGAUUUAGUGAGGACUUCGGACUGGGACCGAUGCGGCUUGCGGGCUGCGUCGGUAUGCUGGAAAGAUGUCCAAACUGUAUCAUUUAGAGGAAGUAAAAGUCGUAACA
RNAcentral lists this ribosomal RNA (327 nucleotides) under uncultured eukaryote. Its description in RNAcentral is "partial 18S ribosomal RNA". It matches the Rfam family "Eukaryotic small subunit ribosomal RNA", at positions 1470 to 1796 of the family's 1831-position model. The record is from RNAcentral.